AGAGUUUGAUCCUGGCUCAGGAUGAACGCUAGCUACAGGCUUAACACAUGCAAGUCGAGGGGAAACGACAUCGAAAGCUUGCUUUUGAUGGGCGUCGACCGGCGCACGGGUGAGUAACGCGUAUCCAACCUGCCCACCACUUGGGGAUAACCUUGCGAAAGUAAGACUAAUACCCAAUGACAUCCAUAGAAGACAUCUGAAAUGGAUUAAAGAUUUAUCGGUGAUGGAUGGGGAUGCGUCUGAUUAGCUUGUUGGCGGGGUAACGGCCCACCAAGGCGACGAUCAGUAGGGGUUCUGAGAGGAAGGUCCCCCACAUUGGAACUGAGACACGGUCCAAACUCCUACGGGAGGCAGCAGUGAGGAAUAUUGGUCAAUGGGCGAGAGCCUGAACCAGCCAAGUAGCGUGCAGGAUGACGGCCCUAUGGGUUGUAAACUGCUUUUAUAAGGGAAUAAAGUGGGUCACGUGUGACUUUUUGCAUGUACCUUAUGAAUAAGGACCGGCUAAUUCCGUGCCAGCAGCCGCGGUAAUACGGAAGGUCCGGGCGUUAUCCGGAUUUAUUGGGUUUAAAGGGAGCGUAGGCCGGAGAUUAAGCGUGUUGUGAAAUGUAGUGGCUCAACCUCUGCACUGCAGCGCGAACUGGUCUUCUUGAGUACGCACAACGUGGGCGGAAUUCGUGGUGUAGCGGUGAAAUGCUUAGAUAUCACGAAGAACUCCGAUUGCGAAGGCAGCUCACGGGAGCGCAACUGACGCUGAAGCUCGAAAGUGCGGGUAUCGAACAGGAUUAGAUACCCUGGUAGUCCGCACGGUAAACGAUGGAUGCCCGCUGUUGGCCUGAAUAGGUCAGCGGCCAAGCGAAAGCAUUAAGCAUCCCACCUGGGGAGUACGCCGGCAACGGUGAAACUCAAAGGAAUUGACGGGGGCCCGCACAAGCGGAGGAACAUGUGGUUUAAUUCGAUGAUACGCGAGGAACCUUACCAAGGCUUGACAUUGAAUGACCGCUUCAGAGAUGAAGCUUUCCCUUCGGGGACAUGAAAACAGGUGGUGCAUGGCUGUCGUCAGCUCGUGUCGUGAGAUGUUGGGUUAAGUCCCGCAACGAGCGCAACCCCUAUCCUAUGUUACCAGCGGGUAAUGCCGGGGACUCAUAGGAGACUGCCAAGGACAACUUGGAGGAAGGCGGGGAUGACGUCAAGUCAUCAUGCCCCUUAUGUCUUGGGCUACACACGUACUACAAUGGUCGGCAACAGAGGGAAGCGAAGCCGCGAGGCAGAGCAAACCCCAGAAACCCGAUCUCAGUUCGGAUUGCAGGCUGCAACUCGCCUGCAUGAAGUCGGAAUCGCUAGUAAUCGCAGGUCAGCAUACUGCGGUGAAUACGUUCCCGGGCCUU
Molecule: ribosomal RNA, 1385 nt
Filed under: uncultured bacterium
Lineage: Bacteria
Description: bacterial SSU rRNA
Rfam family: Bacterial small subunit ribosomal RNA
Source: RNAcentral